Oryzias melastigma (Indian medaka) is the source of this 1583-nucleotide long non-coding RNA. RefSeq lists it as uncharacterized. The transcript is spliced from 2 exons. NCBI's taxonomy places the organism in Eukaryota, Metazoa, Chordata, Actinopteri, Beloniformes, Adrianichthyidae. The record is from RefSeq and is a predicted model, not a curated record.
CUCAUGCGCCGCUAGACCAAUCAUGACCCGUAUUUGGUCUUAGCCCCGCCUUCAAUGAGCGGAUUUGACCAAUCAGGGUAGUUCUUCCAGCAAGAGACUGACAGGCUUAUACCCUGUCCAGGAUCUCUUUAAUGCACCAGCAACAGAGCAGAAAAUAAAGGCACUCCUUCACCGACUGGAUGAACCCAUAUGCAAAGCUUCCUCCCAGGACGUUUUUGCCUUGUCCCAAACCUGAGGUCAUAUCCCGCAAGCGCUGCCCCAGAGAUGAAGAGGGCAUGGCCUGGGGAAGAGGACGCUGGGGGUGCAUGGCUCAAGAAGGCAGACAAAAGGGAAGCUGCAGGGCCGCCACUCGGAGGAAAUGUAAGAUGAGCCUGACAAAUAAGAUCGGUGAGCAACAGCUGAGAUCUGCUUCAUGUCACGACCACCUUUGUUUCCUCUAUUUAUAACCUUCUGCACAAAGUGCUGGCUGCUUCCAUUCAAAGGCAGAGUUUUCUAUGCUCUUUGAUUGGACGGCACAGUGAUACAGUGUGCACAAAGAGGCGCUCCAUGUCGGUCUUUGUUUAUGUAACAGGUGGUCAGACUUUCUAGUACCGCCUCCUUUGUUCCUACACCUCAUUUUCAGUUCACUUCUGUGAAACAUCAUAAUUAGUCAGUGCAAGGUGGAAACAUCAAAACACAAACUCUCAAAGAGGUGAAUGAUAUACAUUUAUAUUUAUAUACGGAUUCUACAUUUUCAGAUACAGGUGUAAACAAACGCGUUUCCCUAAAAAGAAAACAAAACAUUUCAAAAACAGAAAAAUAUAAAGUAAAAAUCAAUAUCUGUGCACGCUAAAAGAACCUUUGGCUUCAAAAAAACAUAAGGAAAAACAACAAAAAUUACAACAGAGUUCAAAAAAACACAAUCGACAUCACCAAACAAACCACAAAUUUCAGAAAAAGGAUUUUGUCAUGCAACAAAGGCAACCGUGAUAAACAAAGUGAACGCAGGACCGGUUCAUUAUAAUACAGAAGUGAGUGUGUUCCAGCACAACAGGCACACGCAGUAAUGACAACUUUUCUCUGGCUUUCCUAUUUUUAAAGUCUCUAAAAGUCUGGCGGACCCAGCUGUCCCUCUGGCAUGUGUGCACAUGCGUGUUUGACUCCGCACAUGCACAUUUCUGAGGCUGACUUCUGACAGGUGGGGGGGCGGGUUUAUAGGCAACAAAGCUCCCUUCUCGUGUCUCAAGGUUUUGGCUUGGAAUUGUCCUCGACGUGAGCUACCUUAACGCUGUCUUUGUUUUACGCAACAAUGGAAACAAUCAUACAGUCCAAAAGCCGAGCAGUUAAAACAUGAACAGUAUUUACAGGUGAUCAGGAAAUCGCCCUCCCCACCGGUGACAUCAAGUAUCUGUGACUUAAAACUCAACGCUGGAAAGUGCGUCCCAGGAGAUUGUCAUCACUGGGAACGUUUGCUGUUUGUCGGGAGUGUAAUCCUUAGCGAAGCAGUUGACUUCGUUUCUAUUAAGUACAUAAGGUGACUGCAUUGAAGUGACAUGACUGCAUUGAAGAAACAAGGCACGAUUAAAAAGAUAUUUAAAAAAAAA